GUCAAGAGAGUGAAGGGAGUGUGCGGCGAUGGCGGAGACGGAGACAUUCGCUUUCCAGGCUGAGAUCAACCAGCUUCUGAGUCUGAUCAUCAACACCUUCUACAGCAACAAGGAGAUCUUCCUCCGCGAGCUCGUCAGCAACGCUUCGGAUGCUCUUGACAAAAUUCGCUUUG
Molecule: long non-coding RNA, 173 nt
Organism: Rhodamnia argentea
Lineage: Eukaryota; Viridiplantae; Streptophyta; Magnoliopsida; Myrtales; Myrtaceae
Exons: 3
Source: RefSeq, a predicted model, not a curated record